GCACAAGCGGUGGAUGAUGUGGUUUAAUUCGAUGCAACGCGAAAACCUUACCCACCUUUGACAUGGCAGGAAUCCCGAAGAGAUUUGGGAGUGCUCGAAAGAGAACCUGCACACAGGUGCUGCAUGGCUGUCGUCAGCUCGUGUCGUGAGAUGUUGGGUUAAGUCCCGCAACGAGCGCAACCCUUGCCAUUAGUUGCUACGAAAGGGCACUCUAAUGGGACUGCCGGUGACAAACCGGAGGAAGGUGGGGAUGACGUCAAAUCAUCAUGCCCCUUAUGACCUGGGCUACACACGUGCUACAAUGGUUGGUACAACGAGUUGCGAGUCGGUGACGGCGAGCUAAUCUCUUAAAGCCAAUCUCAGUUCGGAUUGUAGGCUGCAACUCGCCUACAUGAAGUCGGAAUCGCUAGUAAUCGCGGAUCAGCACGCCGCGGUGAAUACGUUCCCGGGCCUU
This 454-nucleotide ribosomal RNA is filed under the name uncultured Allobrachymonas sp. Its description in RNAcentral is "bacterial SSU rRNA". It matches the Rfam family "Bacterial small subunit ribosomal RNA", at positions 923 to 1382 of the family's 1533-position model. Lineage: Bacteria; Pseudomonadati; Pseudomonadota; Betaproteobacteria; Burkholderiales; Comamonadaceae. The record is from RNAcentral.